Long non-coding RNA from Pezoporus occidentalis (night parrot), 358 nucleotides. RefSeq lists it as uncharacterized. Lineage: Eukaryota; Metazoa; Chordata; Aves; Psittaciformes; Psittacidae. The record is from RefSeq and is a predicted model, not a curated record. The transcript is spliced from 2 exons.
GCACCUAACUAUCAAGAGGGAUAGAGGUGCCGAUGGGGUACCAGCAUCUCUAGCUCGGCCAUGCUGUGCCUUCCUCCCCCCCCCCCCCCAAACUUGGGGUGCAGCAUCCUCCCCAUCACACCACUGGCUUCUUCCCAUUGUCCAAACCCAUGAAUCCCUGCAUCCUUUUGGCUGGGAUAGGAAGUGCUGUCCUGGAAAGGGUUGGAAACCAGCUCUGGGAAAGGAUGCAGUAGUUUUCAUUAAAGCGUUCUGCUGUGCCCUGAAUUAUUUAUAAGCAUCAGGAUGUAAGGACAUCAUGUUCACCCUCCAGCACUGAGAAAGGCUGCAAAUAAUCUAAUAAAUUACUCAUGCAAACUUA